AAAGGAAUUGACGGGGGCCCGCACAAGCAGCGGAGCAUGUGGUUUAAUUCGAAGCAACGCGAAGAACCUUACCAAGGCUUGACAUCCUCUGACAGGCAUAGAAAUAUGCUUUCCCUUCGGGGCAGAGAGACAGGUGGUGCAUGGUUGUCGUCAGCUCGUGUCGUGAGAUGUUGGGUUAAGUCCCGCAACGAGCGCAACCCCUAUCAUUAGUUGCCAGCACGUAGAGGUGGGAACUCUAAUGAGACUGCCGGGGAUAACUCGGAGGAAGGUGGGGACGACGUCAAAUCAUCAUGCCCCUUAUGUCUUGGGCUACACACGUGCUACAAUGGCCGGUACAAAGGGCAGCGAAGCUGUAAAGUGGAGCGAAUCCCAAAAAGCCGGUCCCAGUUCGGAUCGUGGGCUGCAACCCGCCCACGUGAAGCCGGAGUUGCUAGUAAUCGCGAAUCAGCAUGUCGCGGUGAAUGCGUUCCCGGGCCUUGUACACACCGCCCGU
This 493-nucleotide ribosomal RNA is filed under the name uncultured bacterium. Its description in RNAcentral is "bacterial SSU rRNA". It matches the Rfam family "Bacterial small subunit ribosomal RNA", at positions 903 to 1397 of the family's 1533-position model. The record is from RNAcentral.